GUUGAUUGACACACAGUUUUUUGACCUCAUCUGCAACUGAGAGCAGCUGCAGUCAAGAGGACAUCGCAUAUCUGUGGAUUAUAUGUGCACGUCUUUGCUCUUGGGUCAGAAACCGUCUACCAGUGCAAGGAAAAACACUGGUUCUGCUCUACAAACGUCAAGUAGAGGAGUUUUUGUUUAAAUGGCGCCCAACGUGAAGAGAGCGGUGCACAUCGCAACUGGAGCCACAACACCUGCCUCUGUCUGGUAUCGUUAUAGCGACAGCCCCAAAACAUCAAUGCUCUAGAGGAGAUCUGAAUGGAGGAAUGGGACAAAAUCCAGCAACAGAACACUUCUUUGAUGGAAAAAAAGGCACAGGAUCUUUAGCAUUGCGCCUCAACAACAUGUCCAGGAAUACAUAUCAAUGGCCAGUCAAGGCAGCCACAGUGCCUCAAGCACAAGGACCAAACCGCCGAAGAUCAGCAGCCACAGCAGCUUGAUGGAGAUGCUUGCAGGGAGGCUAUAUAAUUUCUUGUUCACUCUCCUCAUGCAGAAAGUGUGUUUCAGAAGAUGAAGAUGACCUUGCAACAUUGUCAGGACCUAGUGGGACAGAGUACAGGGC
Molecule: long non-coding RNA, 601 nt
Organism: Esox lucius (northern pike)
Lineage: Eukaryota; Metazoa; Chordata; Actinopteri; Esociformes; Esocidae
Source: Ensembl